Molecule: non-coding RNA, 182 nt
Filed under: Gammaproteobacteria bacterium
Lineage: Bacteria; Pseudomonadati; Pseudomonadota; Gammaproteobacteria
Description: 6S RNA
Rfam family: 6S / SsrS RNA
About the family: E. coli 6S RNA was the first non coding RNA to be sequenced, but its function was unknown until recently.
Source: RNAcentral
UACCCACUGUGGUGUUCGAGAGCAGAAACGUAAUUCUUGAACCACUUUGUGUUCGAUAGGAGACUACACGGCCAAUGGUGUGCAUACCUGGAUUUCUCAGGGAGCCUGAUUUGUCUGCAUCCGUCUCCACCCUUUAUUUUGGGUUCAAGGUCGAGCUCUGUAUCGGCGCUAAUGGUGGGUGC